UACGGAGGGUGCAAGCGUUAUCCGGAUUCACUGGGUUUAAAGGGCGCGUAGGUGGGCUGGUAAGUCAGUGGUGAAAUCUCCAGGCUUAACUUGGAAACUGCCAUUGAUACUAUCAGUCUUGAAUACCGUGGAGGUCAGCGGAAUAUGUCAUGUAGCGGUGAAAUGCUUAGAUAUGACAUAGAACACCAAUUGCGAAGGCAGCUGGCUACACGAAUAUUGACACUGAUGCACGAAAGCGUGGGGAUCAAACAGG
RNAcentral lists this ribosomal RNA (253 nucleotides) under uncultured bacterium. RNAcentral's name for it is "partial 16S ribosomal RNA". It matches the Rfam family "Bacterial small subunit ribosomal RNA", at positions 524 to 776 of the family's 1533-position model. The record is from RNAcentral.